RNAcentral lists this ribosomal RNA (492 nucleotides) under uncultured bacterium. Its description in RNAcentral is "partial 16S ribosomal RNA". It matches the Rfam family "Bacterial small subunit ribosomal RNA", at positions 29 to 507 of the family's 1533-position model. The record is from RNAcentral.
AGUGAACGCUGGCGGUAGGCCUAACACAUGCAAGUCGAACGGCAGCACAGUAAGAGCUUGCUCUUACGGGUGGCGAGUGGCGGACGGGUGAGGAAUACAUCGGAAUCUACUUUUUCGUGGGGGAUAACGUAGGGAAACUUACGCUAAUACCGCAUACGACCUACGGGUGAAAGCAGGGGAUCUUCGGACCUUGCGCGAUUGAAUGAGCCGAUGUCGGAUUAGCUAGUUGGCGGGGUAAAGGCCCACCAAGGCGACGAUCCGUAGCUGGUCUGAGAGGAUGAUCAGCCACACUGGAACUGAGACACGGUCCAGACUCCUACGGGAGGCAGCAGUGGGGAAUAUUGGACAAUGGGCGCAAGCCUGAUCCAGCCAUACCGCGUGGGUGAAGAAGGCCUUCGGGUUGUAAAGCCCUUUUGUUGGGAAAGAAAAGCAGCAGGUUAAUACCCAGCUGUUCUGACGGUACCGAAAGAAUAAGCACCGGCUAACUUCGUG